CGCUGCGUGGUGAGCACAGAGCGAACUAUUCUUUCGCCUUUUACUAAAGAAUACCGUGUUCUCGCCAUAACUAAGCAGCAUACACCAAUUUUUGGAGGGUGUCAAUUCUCUU
This 112-nucleotide small nuclear RNA is filed under the name Leersia perrieri. Its description in RNAcentral is "snRNA U5". It matches the Rfam family "U5 spliceosomal RNA". Rfam says of the family: U5 RNA is a component of both types of known spliceosome. The precise function of this molecule is unknown, though it is known that the 5' loop is required for splice site selection and p220 binding, and that both the 3' stem-loop and the Sm site are important for Sm protein binding and cap methylation. The record is from Rfam by way of RNAcentral. Lineage: Eukaryota; Viridiplantae; Streptophyta; Magnoliopsida; Poales; Poaceae.